GUGAGUCAUCGAAUCUUUGAACGCACAUUGCGCCCGCCAGUAUUCUGGCGGGCAUGCCUGUUCGAGCGUCGUUUCAACCCUCGAGCCCCCCCGGGGCUCGGCGUUGGGGAUCGACCGUCCUCCGCGGCGGUCGGCCCUGAAAUCGAGUGGCGGUCUCGCCGUAGCCUCCUCUGCGUAGUAGCACACACUCGCACCGGACGGCCGGCGCGGCCACGCCGUGAAACCCCCCACCACUGAAAGGUUGACCUCGGAUCAGGUAGGACUACCCGCUGAACUUAAGCAUAUCAAUAAGCGGAGGA
RNAcentral lists this unclassified non-coding RNA (299 nucleotides) under Nectria sp. (in: ascomycete fungi). RNAcentral's name for it is "Nectria sp. (in: Fungi) partial contains 5.8S ribosomal RNA, internal transcribed spacer 2, and large subunit ribosomal RNA". The stretch from base 1 to 71 matches the Rfam family "5.8S ribosomal RNA", at positions 84 to 154 of the family's 154-position model. The record is from RNAcentral. Lineage: Eukaryota; Fungi; Ascomycota; Sordariomycetes; Hypocreales; Nectriaceae.